This 439-nucleotide ribosomal RNA is filed under the name uncultured bacterium. Its description in RNAcentral is "partial 16S ribosomal RNA". It matches the Rfam family "Bacterial small subunit ribosomal RNA", at positions 338 to 795 of the family's 1533-position model. The record is from RNAcentral.
CCUACGGGAGGCAGCAGUGGGGAAUAUUGCACAAUGGGGGAAACCCUGAUGCAGCGACGCCGCGUGAGCGAUGAAGUAUUUCGGUAUGUAAAGCUCUAUCAGCAGGGAAGAAAAUGACGGUACCUGACUAAGAAGCCCCGGCUAACUACGUGCCAGCAGCCGCGGGAAUACGUAGGGGGCAAGCGUUAUCCGGAUUUACUGGGUGUAAAGGGAGCGUAGACGGUCCUGCAAGCCAGAUGUGAAAGCCCGGGGCCCAACCCCGGGAUUGCAUUUGGAACUGUAAGGCUAGAGUGUCGGAGAGGCAGGUGGAAUUCCAGGUGUAGGAGUGAAAUCCGUAGAUAUCUGGAGGAACAUCAGUGGCGAAGGCGACUAUCUGGCACAUAACUGACGCUGAGGAGCGAAAGCGUGGGUAGCAAACAGGAUUAGAUACCCGGUAGUC